Pluteus cervinus is the source of this 97-nucleotide non-coding RNA. NCBI's taxonomy places the organism in Eukaryota, Fungi, Basidiomycota, Agaricomycetes, Agaricales, Pluteaceae. The record is from the annotation of a GenBank genome assembly.
UCUCUCAUAGUAUAACGGCUAGUACACAUACCGAAUAUUCCACUACGACACGGAUAUAUUGUAUGGUGGGUUCUGGGUUCGAUCCCCGGUGAGAGAA